Molecule: long non-coding RNA, 1050 nt
Filed under: Capra hircus (goat)
Lineage: Eukaryota; Metazoa; Chordata; Mammalia; Artiodactyla; Bovidae
Description: lncRNA (ENSCHIG00000007489.1)
Source: RNAcentral
GAGCCUGCGGCUGAUUGGCCGAGCGCAGAGCACUGGGCGUGGGCUUUGCGCAAGUUCUCCGCUCGUACCCCCAGCUCCCAGGGGAAGCCGGGGCGUGUUGGACCAGCGGCUCUUCAAGGCUCAGAGGAGGCGAGACCGCUGUUCGCAUCCGCUGCGCCUUUCCGCUGGAGUAUGAAAUCUACUUCCAAGAUUCGCGCCUUAGUGAACAUUCCGAGGGAAAGCCCGAGGUCGCGAUGGAUCUUGACGGCCGCAAUGAAAAGAGCAGAGGGGAAGAACUUCUUGAAAAGGGACAAAAAAAGUGCAUCCUCAAAUCUGUAUUUCAUACUUCCUGCACAAUUUGGACAGAGUUUGAAACAGACAUAUCCAAGAUGUGGGACAUUCUAUAAGACACCCGUUUUUGUUCCUGUAAAAAGUCAAUGUUUGAUGAGAGGUAGGUGGGAAGAAGAAUUUCUAGAUUUGAAAGAGAGUAAAGAGACAAGUGGAGAAGGAAGUGGUAGCCUGCCCACUCCGGUAUUCUUGCCUAGGAAAUCCCUUGGACAGAGGAGCCUGGCAGGCUACGGUCCAUGGGGUGGCAAAAGAGUCAGACACGGCUUAGUGACUAAACAACAACAAAGAAACAAAACCACCACAUAUAAUACAUGAGCCUUAAUUACAUCAGAGUUCUAAAAAGGGAAAACCUAUAGAAACCAUUCUUGAAAAUUUUGAAUGUGGAUUGAUAUCAAAAUUGCUGUUAAUUUUAUUGUAUUUGAAUGGUAGGAAAACAUGUGAAGUGCCAUGAUCUUUGCAGCUUAUUUUCAAAUAGUUUGAUGAUUAACAGUUAUAAACUUCCUUAUGCAUUAAAGAAAAUAUGGUCAAAAUGUUCACAGCUGUUGAAUCUAGGUGAAUUUUUAAUGGGUAGUCAUUAUUAGUAUUCUUUUUGUUUGUUUGAAGGUUUUCAUAAUAAAUUCUCGUAAAAUACGUUAUAUAGAGUGGAAGGUAGAUACAUCCCUUUUUGUUUUUAAGUUUUUAAACUUGGUACCUUAAAUAUGUAUUAUUUGACGCAAACACUUA